Molecule: ribosomal RNA, 842 nt
Filed under: uncultured Clostridia bacterium
Lineage: Bacteria; Bacillati; Bacillota; Clostridia
Description: bacterial SSU rRNA
Rfam family: Bacterial small subunit ribosomal RNA
Source: RNAcentral
CGGCGCGCUUUAACACAGCAAUCGACGAUGAAAUUUUACAGAACCCUUCGGGGUGAAGAUAAAAUGGAUUACGGCGGACGGGUGAGUAACACGUGAGUAACCUGCCUUAGACAUUGGGAUAGCCUCGGGAAACCGGGAUUAAUACCGAAUAACAUCACAUAGACACAUGUCCUUGUGAUCAAAACUCCGGUGGUCUAAGAUGGACUCGCGUCCCAUUAGCUAGUUGGUAAGGUAACGGCCUACCAAGGCGACGAUGGGUAGCCGGCCUGAGAGGGUGAACGGCCACAUUGGAACUGAGAAACGGUCCAAACUCCUACGGGAGGCAGCAGUGGGGAAUAUUGCACAAUGGGGGAAACCCUGAUGCAGCGACGCCGCGUGAACGAAGAAGGCUUUCGAGUCGUAAAGUUCUUUUAUAUGGGAAGAUAAUGACGGUACCAUAAGAAAAAGCCCCGGCUAACUACGUGCCAGCAGCCGCGGUAAUACGUAGGGGGCUAGCGUUGUCCGGAAUCACUGGGCGUAAAGGGUUCGCAGGCGGAAAUGCAAGUCAGGUGUAAAAGGCAGUAGCUUAACUACUGUAAGCAUUUGAAACUGCAUAUCUUGAGAAGAGUAGAGGUAAGUGGAAUUUUUAGUGUAGCGGUGAAAUGCGUAGAUAUUAAAAAGAAUACCGGUGGCGAAGGCGACUUACUGGGCUCAUUCUGACGCUGAGGAACGAAAGCGUGGGUAGCAAACAGGAUUAGAUACCCUGGUAGUCCACGCUGUAAACGAUGAGUGCUAGGUGUCGGCGUAAGUCGGUGCCGCAGUUAACACAAUAAGCACUCCGCCUGGGGAGUACGUGCGCAAGC